This 787-nucleotide unclassified non-coding RNA is filed under the name Hevea brasiliensis (rubber tree). The record is from RNAcentral. Lineage: Eukaryota; Viridiplantae; Streptophyta; Magnoliopsida; Malpighiales; Euphorbiaceae.
AAAAGUUUCAAAUUCUAUUUUUGUCAUUUAUUUAAUUAAUUUAUCUUGUGAGAUUCAAUUAUAAAUAUAUCUUUUACAUUAAUUAUACUCGGAAAAAAAUUAUAAAAGAGAAAUUAAAAAUAAUAAUGCAGAGAUAUAAUUAUACAUCAAUAAUCAUUCAGAUUGUACAAUUGGUUUACGUUGAUGGAGAUGCUAUACUUCCAAGAAACAUUCUUCUUGUGAGCUUGACGGACGCCAGUGCCAAUACUGUUGCAGUAGGCACAAAGACAACAUCUGGCACCAUCUUGAUUAUCUUUAACUGGGGCAGAUUCUCUGCCGCUCUUUUGGCAGCCAUGGCUGCCGGUGGUGUUACCACCCCCGUGACCAUGGCGGAGUCAUCUAACCUGCUAAGAUUUACGCUCGUCUUCAUGAAGUCGACAAAGAGUUCUUUUCUUUUUGCCUCUGGAGCUUUUUUCCAGCGGGCAAAACAAUCCUCUAUGUCCUUUCUUGAGGGUGCAUCAUAAUGUCUACCAGGCAAUGCUGAGUUGAAUGUGUUGAAAAUGUCAAGAAUAGCCAUGUGGAAUUCCUCAAAGCUCUUAAUAUCUUUCUCCACAAAUUGCUUGUAGAGUGUUCCCAUUACAAAACUUACCAUCUGGGUUGAAGGCAACCCUUUUCCCAUAAAACUCAUGGACAUCCCCAUUUCUUUAAAAUUAACUUGAAAUCAAGUACAUUCAAUACAAUUGCAGAAAGGCUAUAUAUAGUGUAAGGUGGAGAAAGAGGGAAUGGCUUGCUGGGUUUUCCAAAACCA